CCGGCAAUAGCUCAGUUGGUAGAGCGGGAGACUGUAGUGCAACUGUUAUCUCUAGGUCGCUAGUUCAAAUCUGGCUUGCCGGA
Rhizophagus irregularis DAOM 197198w is the source of this 83-nucleotide transfer RNA. It matches the Rfam family "tRNA". Rfam says of the family: Transfer RNA (tRNA) molecules are approximately 80 nucleotides in length. Their secondary structure includes four short double-helical elements and three loops (D, anti-codon, and T loops). Lineage: Eukaryota; Fungi; Glomeromycota; Glomeromycetes; Glomerales; Glomeraceae. The record is from Rfam.